UGGGGAAUAUUGCACAAUGGGCGCAAGCCUGAUGCAGCCAUGCCGCGUGUGUGAAGAAGGCCUUCGGGUUGUAAAGCACUUUCAGCGGGGAGGAAGGCGAUAAGGUUAAUAACCUCAUCGAUUGACGUUACCCGCAGAAGAAGCACCGGCUAACUCCGUGCCAGCAGCCGCGGAAAUACGGAGGGUGCAAGCGUUAAUCGGAAUUACUGGGCGUAAAGCGCACGCAGGCGGUCUGUCAAGUCGGAUGUGAAAUCCCCGGGCGCAACCUGGGAACUGCAUUCGAAACUGGCAGGCUAGAGUCUUGUAGAGGGGGGUAGAAUUCCAUGUGUAGCGGUGAAAUGCGUAGAGAUGUGGAGGGAUACCGGUGGCGAAGGCGGCCCCCUGGACAAAGACUGACGCUCAGGUGCGAAAGCGUGGGGAGCAAACAGG
This 429-nucleotide ribosomal RNA is filed under the name Chloroflexota bacterium. RNAcentral describes it as "Chloroflexi bacterium partial 16S ribosomal RNA". It matches the Rfam family "Bacterial small subunit ribosomal RNA", at positions 355 to 776 of the family's 1533-position model. The record is from RNAcentral. Lineage: Bacteria; Bacillati; Chloroflexota.